AGGGCCCGCGGCCCCACCCGGGACCAGCGCUGCUGCGCCGGUCGGCGCUAGAGUCCCCGAUGCAGUUGGGGCAGAGGCUGCCCCGGCCCCCGCCGAUCCCGGAGUUCCGACAAGACAACGCCCGCAGCGGCACCAGCUCGUCCCGCCACUGCCCCCGGGGCCGCCGAAACAACCGGAGCCGGAACCGCAGAUCCAGCCAGCCCCGCCGAGCUGGCAGGACCCGCGCCAGGGGCUACCCUCGCUCCUAAUGGACCUACGCCCACCGCACCUGACUUGCGGAAACAAACCCCAAAACUCGCCAAGAGUAUUGAAGCAGGCAUACAAGCGAGCGGGAAAGAACGACACACAUCUACAAGAUGCAAGUUCGAAUCCACUUUAUUAUUGUUAGACUGUACAAUUUAUAUUCUUCUGAGUUCUGUUCACGCGAACACGAGCACAGCACGCCAUCACGAUUGGUCAGCACGCACUGUCCACGCGCCUCAGAACUCAGUCAUGGCUAGGCUUCGCGAACGAAGAUUUGAAAGGACUCUACCCACUCUUGCUACAAGCGCGCUGAUGGCUAAAAAGGCCAAUGCGAGAUAGACAAGUCCGGUUGCAGAAGGCACAGCAGAAAGACUCCCCAGGUGAUAUCGACGAGACGCGAUUCUUUCUGCGUUGUCUUUUCUCCUCGAGAGUGAUCCUGCGUGUGUUCUCAAAAGCAGCAGCAGCGUUAUAGAACUCAGUAUAGUCAUGUAGAAUUGCUAAGGCCCCAACACAUAAUGCAACUCAGUCCACCUUUCCUCCUUAUGAAGGAUUGUAUUAAGUUGUAGCAUGGUAUUGAUUUCAAAAGAGCUAAAUUUCAGCCACACUACUCCUCUUAGUUGCCCGUUGCAAGACCAAAUACUUAUAGAGAGUCUACUUAACUCCCACUUUUUUAAAGAUGUUUCAGGGCCAGUUAAAUCGUCCCAAUGUUGUAAAACUAAAGCCAACGGAGUCCCCUCUGGAAUUUUUUCUUUAGAUUGUGCACAGCUUAUGUUAACAAACAACAGACAGGAAAAAAUUGACAGACCUGGGUCUAGAACUUACAACCUCACAUACACUGUGCAGACUUUCUACCCAAGCACCACCAGGUUCAGGCAGGAAUUUAGUAUUUCAACACAGGAAGGUGUCCCCCCCUUUCGUGGCCACGCCUGGCCAACACGAAACACAACUCUCCUGAGCUCCCCUCUGCCUGCCCUGACUGAGGCUUCCCAGACAGUCCCACUGCCCGCCCCGGUGAAAACCCAUUCACCAACAGACUGGGAAAACACCAACUCUUGCAACUUUUGGGCCCAAGUCCAAGUCUCCCUUCCCAGUCCCACCAUAUUCCCUAGUUCUGGGGAAAACUCCUUCCCAUAGCUGCUAAUUAAAACUCCCCAGAAGCUGUUUCUUAUCUUACCUCCGUGUGCGGCUUCAAGGAGCUGGGCUCCUUGAGAUUGGAGUGGGAAUUCUCCAAAAUAUACUGGCCAAGGAAGAAAUCCCUGCAAAAUCGAAUGUCCCGAUCCAGAGGAGUCACAGGUCCCGAUGUUCCCCAU
Long non-coding RNA from Myiozetetes cayanensis, 1553 nucleotides. RefSeq lists it as uncharacterized. Lineage: Eukaryota; Metazoa; Chordata; Aves; Passeriformes; Tyrannidae. The record is from RefSeq and is a predicted model, not a curated record. The transcript is spliced from 3 exons.